GCAAGUGGAGGGGUAACAGGGUCUUCGGACCGCUGACGACCGGCGCACGGGUGCGUAACGCGUAUACAACUUACCUUUGAGAGAGAGAUAGCCCAGAGAAAUUUGGAUUAAUACCUCAUGGUCUUAUAAAGCUUCAUGGCUUAAUAAGUAAAUGCUUUGGUGCUCAAAGAUGGGUAUGCGUAUGAUUAGCUAGUUGGUGAGGUAACGGCUCACCAAGGCAACGAUCAUUAGCUGGUCUGAGAGGAUGAUC
RNAcentral lists this ribosomal RNA (250 nucleotides) under uncultured bacterium. RNAcentral's name for it is "partial 16S ribosomal RNA". It matches the Rfam family "Bacterial small subunit ribosomal RNA", at positions 57 to 305 of the family's 1533-position model. The record is from RNAcentral.